This 468-nucleotide ribosomal RNA is filed under the name uncultured bacterium. RNAcentral describes it as "partial 16S ribosomal RNA". It matches the Rfam family "Bacterial small subunit ribosomal RNA", at positions 28 to 507 of the family's 1533-position model. The record is from RNAcentral.
GACGAACGCUGGCGGCGUGCUUAACACAUGCAAGUCGAACGGAAAGGCCCUGCUUUUGUGGGGUGCUCGAGUGGCGAACGGGUGAGUAACACGUGAGUAACCUGCCCUUGACUUUGGGAUAACUUCAGGAAACUGGGGCUAAUACCGGAUAGGAGCUCCUGCUGCAUGGUGGGGGUUGGAAAGUUUCGGCGGUUGGGGAUGGACUCGCGGCUUAUCAGCUUGUUGGUGGGGUAGUGGCUUACCAAGGCUUUGACGGGUAGCCGGCCUGAGAGGGUGACCGGCCACAUUGGGACUGAGAUACGGCCCAGACUCCUACGGGAGGCAGCAGUGGGGAAUAUUGCACAAUGGGCGGAAGCCUGAUGCAGCAACGCCGCGUGCGGGAUGACAGCCUUCGGGUUGUAACCCGCUUUCGCCUGUGACGAAGCGUGAGUGACGGUAAUGGGUAAAGAAGCACCGGCUAACUACGUG